This 736-nucleotide ribosomal RNA is filed under the name Thermococcus sp. enrichment culture. RNAcentral's name for it is "bacterial SSU rRNA". It matches the Rfam family "Archaeal small subunit ribosomal RNA", at positions 123 to 856 of the family's 1478-position model. Lineage: Archaea; Methanobacteriati; Methanobacteriota; Thermococci; Thermococcales; Thermococcaceae. The record is from RNAcentral.
GGGGUAACCCCGGGAAACUGGGGCUAAUUCCCCAUAGGCCUGAGGUACUGGAAGGUCCUCAGGCCGAAAGGGACUUAUGUCCGCCCGAGGAUGGGCCGGCGGCCGAUUAGGUAGUUGGUGGGGUAAUGGCCCACCAAGCCGAAGAUCGGUACGGGCUGUGAGAGCAGGAGCCCGGAGAUGGACACUGAGACACGGGUCCAGGCCCUACGGGGCGCAGCAGGCGCGAAACCUCCGCAAUGCGGGAAACCGCGACGGGGGGACCCCGAGUGCCGUGGCAACGCCACGGCUUUUCCGGAGUGUAAAAAGCUCCGGGAAUAAGGGCUGGGCAAGGCCGGUGGCAGCCGCCGCGGUAAUACCGGCGGCCCGAGUGGUGGCCGCUAUUAUUGGGCCUAAAGCGUCCGUAGCCGGGCCCGUAAGUCCCUGGCGAAAUCCCACGGCUCAACCGUGGGGCUUGCUGGGGAUACUGCGGGUCUUGGGACCGGGAGAGGCGGGGGGUACCCCUGGGGUAGGGGUGAAAUCCUAUAAUCCCAGGGGGACCGCCAGUGGCGAAGGCGCCCCGCUGGAACGGGUCCGACGGUGAGGGACGAAGGCCAGGGGAGCAAACCGGAUUAGAUACCCGGGUAGUCCUGGCUGUAAAGGAUGCGGGCUAGGUGUCGGGUGAGCCUCGAGCUCGCCCGGUGCCGUAGGGAAGCCGUUAAGCCCGCCGCCUGGGGAGUACGGCCGCAAGGCUGAAACU